GUACACUCCUGCGGGAGGCAGCAGUGAGGAAUAUUGGACAAUGGGUGGAAGCCUGAUCCAGCCAUCCCGCGUGCAGGAAGACGGCCCUAUGGGUUGUAAACUGCUUUUAUCUGGGGAUAAACCUACUUACGUGUAAGUAGCUGAAGGUACCAGAAGAAUAAGCACCGGCUAACUCCGUGCCAGCAGCCGCGGUAAUACGGAGGGUGCAAGCGUUAUCCGGAUUUAUUGGGUUUAAAGGGUCCGUAGGCGGACUGAUAAGUCAGUGGUGAAAUCCGACAGCUUAACUGUCGAACUGCCAUUGAUACUGUUAGUCUUGAGUAAGGUUGAAGUGGCUGGAAUAAGUAGUGUAGCGGUGAAAUGCAUAGAUAUUACUUAGAACACCAAUUGCGAAGGCAGGUCACUAAGUCUUAACUGACGCUGAUGGACGAAAGCGUGGGGAGCGAACAGGAUUAGAAACCCCGGUAGUCCCAUG
Molecule: ribosomal RNA, 472 nt
Filed under: uncultured organism
Description: partial 16S ribosomal RNA
Rfam family: Bacterial small subunit ribosomal RNA
Source: RNAcentral